GAGCCCGGGUUGGAGGGCGAGACCGUAGGCGAGAAUGGCCGCGCGGGCUGGGAGACCCGGGCCGGUAUGGAGUGAGUGGAGCCGCCCGAGUGCACUGGAUGGAUGGAUGAAGGCACUCUCCCAGGCUUCCAACUCUUGAACACCUGAGCGACCAUCUGGAGCCCACACAUCCUCAACAGAUCACACUGCUGCUUGGCCACUGCUCUCCACCCUCUUCUGAGGCUGCUGCUUAUACCACAGUGUUGAUGGCCUCCUCUCUGCUCCCCAGAGCAGAUGCUCCCACCAACACUGCUGCUCUUGGGCAUCAGAUAGGUUCUGCGAGCUUCACCAUUGUCAGAAGGCCCAGAUGGCUCCGGGAGGUCCCAUGGAUGCUCAGCCCAAACCAGGAGUUUUCUCACACUCCAUGCAAGUGAGUUGGCGCAGAUAGACGUGCGGAAAUUGGAAUCUAACUCCACAUAAACCAGUUAUGUAUACGGGAAGUCCUUAUUUUGCAUAGUAAUGCAAGACCAUAAAAAUGACUGUGUAAGCUGAAACCCUGCAAAGCAAUCUUAAUCGAAGGGAAUAAUUACAGUUGUUCUGUGACCUUUAAACAUUUUUGUCAAAACAUUAAACAUUCUCUUACUGUUGUUUAUAAAUGCAUGGGGAAAUGAAAAAUUAACAAAACUAAUAUUUAUUUAUUACACUGUAAUUUAAAACAUUAGAAACAUUGAGAAUUAAGGUGUUUUAUUUCUUUGUAAAGAACAUAUCAAAAGUAGUUUGCACAGUUCUUGCCUUUCUCCCCUUACUGUAUAGCUUAUGAUACAGCUGGAGCAACUUUUCUAUGCCUUGGUGAAUUGUCGUACUUUGUUGUAAGUGUAGUCUAGUUCUAAGUCAGGUCCUAAUGUUUUAUCCUUUGCUCUUGCAAUGUUACAAAAUAUCUAUAAGAAUUCCUUGAAGGUGAAGUUUUUUGCCAGUGCCACUUCCACUGGCACAUCUUCAUUUUCUUGGAAUCUGGAUGCAGAUUUCCCAGCUGCAUGCUUACAUGUGCUAGCAGCUUCAUCACUAGCUUGACAUCAAUCAAUUCAUGCUAAAUUCUGGAAUGAGGAAACAAGCCUUUACUGGCAGUAAAAUAUUCUUCUUCAGUAUCCUUGUAAUUACCAUUUUCUUUCAAUGUGGCAACUAAGAUCAAUGCUUUGGCCAGGAUGCAAGCCAAACUACUUCGGAUUUUGAAAUAUUACAGUCUUCAAUCCAAAGUAGAAAACUCUCCAAGCAUAAGCAGCUUUCUGGUCCUAUUGCAAUUUAAACUAAGAGAUGAAGCAACGUUACCUUGCUUUUAAUACACAUUGGAUUUUUCCAGUGCAGUUUGUUCCAUAGCUCCAUGCAGGCCAUGGUGCAUCCAGUCUUUGCUCUGCUCUUGCCAAUUUCACAUCUUCAAUCUAAUCACAUCCAGUUUACUGCCGGCAUUAUCACUUUUUGUUUCUUUGUUGCAUUUUUAUUUUUGUUAGCUUACCCUCUAUCCAGUGAUCCAUUUUUUGUAAAAUUUUCAUCACAUGGAUUUAUCACUGGAAGACAAGGAGGCAACACAACUUCACAUUUUGCUGUCUGGGCAUGAACUGAGUAACAGAUAUGCAAUGACUAAUCAAGGACAGGCUUUGAAAGAAGUGAUGUGAUUGGUUCAUCAUGAUGUGCAUCUGUUGUUUAUAUCAUGAUUUGCGGACUGGCAAGCAGGCAGUGAAGUUUGUACUUUAUGCAAUUAUAGUUAAUAUAUACUGUGGUGACUGAAAUUUGAACUAGUUUUUGGGAACGGGUAUUAUUUCGCUAAACUGAAACUUGUGCACAUCAGUGCCAUAAAAAGCAAGGACUGCUUAUUAAUGUGUACCAACCAAAUACUUUUGGGCACAUUCACAGCACAGCACUUCCUCCUCCUUGUGGUUGGACGGUUCCACGUGACCAGUCUAGCCAAUGGAUUGUGAGCAGAAGUUACAUGUGUCAGUUCCGUGCCAAACCAUUUGAUGGACAGUCAGUCGUGUCCUAGCCCCUGAGGAUAUCGGAGGAGGUGGCUGCUCUGUUAGCCUAAGUCUCUGAGCAACAAAGGUGAGCAGAGGCCCCCUGCUGAGAUAUGAUGGACAUGUAGCAUAAGCAAGAAGUAAACCUUUGUUUUAAGCCACUGAGAUCUUGGGGUUAUUUGUUUCUGUAGCAUAGCAACUCGUUAUGAUUGAUAUAAAAUAUCAUCAGGAGGUAAUCUAGGAAAAGGAGGAUAGGGAGCUGGGCAGAAUUUAGAACUCAGAAAUUGGCAGCUGAUAGUAAAAGGGCUCCAAAUUUGUAGGGGUAGGAGGAGAGGAAGAAUCAGGGGCAUGUACUUAAAAAAUCUUUAUAUGAUAAAAAAAAAAUUAGCACAGACACAGAAAAUAAAUGUAUAGCUUAAUAAAUUAUUAAAAAAUGAAGGUUAUCCAUUUAUGGAUUAAUAGAUUAAUGGACUAUCAUGGGAGUGGGACUCGUGGUUUAUAAGAAGAGGAAGAGAGACCUGAGCUAGCACUCAGCCCCCUUGCCAUGCAAUGCUCUGUACCAGUUUAGGACUCUGCAGAAAGUGCCUACCAUCAAGAAUGUCUCUCGCCAGACGUGGUAACUUGACCUUGAACUUCUCAGCCUCCAUAACUGUAAGAAAUAA
This is a long non-coding RNA of Homo sapiens (human), 2647 nucleotides long. The record is from Ensembl. Lineage: Eukaryota; Metazoa; Chordata; Mammalia; Primates; Hominidae.